CCGAGUGCGAGCCCUCUGGGCUCAACCUCCCACCCGUGUCGUUCUGAACACCUGUUGCUUUGGCGGGCCCACCGGGGCCACCCGGUCGCCGGGGGACGUCUGUCCCCGGGCCCGCGCCCGCCGAAGCACCCCCUGAACUCUGAAGAAGAUCGGGCAGUCUGAGUACCUAGAAAAUUGUCA
Molecule: unclassified non-coding RNA, 180 nt
Filed under: uncultured Ascomycota
Lineage: Eukaryota; Fungi; Ascomycota
Description: sequence contains ITS1
Source: RNAcentral